ACGACGGCCAGUGCUCUGUAACCUUCGGGGGCUAUUCAGGCUUAGCGGGGUCGACGUGGACCAGCGAGGGUGACGCGCUGCGUUGACGUGGUGCUCUGCUUGGCUGUGUGUCGGUGUGCCCCGCCCCCCUGAAGAGGGGUGUCGCGGGACCGCCGUUAAAGCGAGGGAACCGGGUCAGGCCGGCGACGGAGCAGCC
This 196-nucleotide small RNA is filed under the name Leishmania sp. JPC-2012. RNAcentral's name for it is "7SL RNA". It matches the Rfam family "Protozoan signal recognition particle RNA", at positions 1 to 180 of the family's 228-position model. Lineage: Eukaryota; Euglenozoa; Kinetoplastea; Trypanosomatida; Trypanosomatidae. The record is from RNAcentral.